RNAcentral lists this long non-coding RNA (1151 nucleotides) under Equus asinus (donkey). RNAcentral describes it as "lncRNA (ENSEASG00005030960.1)". Lineage: Eukaryota; Metazoa; Chordata; Mammalia; Perissodactyla; Equidae. The record is from RNAcentral.
GGGGGAGGUGGCCGUGCAGUUUCUGGCACUAACUCGGGUGUCCUCCUGAAGCCUUAGUUCCGCCGCGAGUAACGGUCCGUGGGAAUUAACAACCUUCGCGCCAGCGAAGGUGGGCCGGUCGCCAAUUUCAGCAGCUCCCUCUUCGCCCAGGGGCCCCAGCCUUCUUCCCUCACGCGCAUCCCCUCAAGGGAGUGACGAGCUAGGCCUUCGCUCGGCCCUGCACCUUGGGGCUCUCCCCACGCCUUCAAGGUCCAGGCGACAGGGCUGCUCGCUGAUGCUUAUCAUUUUUAUUCUUAUUUUGAGCCUCCCAGGCCCUAGACCCGAGCCUCUGGAGAGCCGGCAGCCCUCUGGGGGGGUUCGUCGUCGCCCCCCCGCUUCCCGCGGGGCCGAGGCUCGCCGCAGGGAGGGGGCGUCCACCGGGAGACGAGGAGGGGCUGGGCGGAGACAGCGGCCGUGCGCCCGCCCUUGCCCCCUGCCGGCCGGCGCGGCGCGGCUUCUGGAAGGUGCUGAGGAGGCGCGGUGAGCGGACGCUGUCUGGGCCGCGGCGCCGGUGGCGGCAGGCGUCUCCGCGCGUCCCCGUGCGCGGUGGGGUGGGCUGACCGAGAUGAGGUGCGCCAGGGCGGCUGGCGGGGCGAACGGCGCCCGCGGGCCUCCCCUCUCCACGCCGGCAAAACGGGGGCUUUUGAGAGAAUCGGGAAGGGUAGCGGGUGUGAAAGACCUUUGUAACCUUCGCCGGUGUGAGGGCUCCCUUCACAGUCUGGUUGGCAAGACGAAACACGCGAAGCCACCAGCAAAUAACCUCACAAGAGGUUUUUCCAGAGCAAGAUGGUGCUGAAAACCAGCUGUUGACGUGGCUCGGGAAAGCGCCCGCUAAGCAAGGAGAGCGUCCUGGAGGAAGCUCGCCCUGGCCCGGGACCUGGGAGGAGUGCGCUAAAUGCAGUGGAUUGUGAACUUUGGAAAAAGGACACUCCGAACAAUUGGGCAAGAACCAUAUUGAGAGCCAGAGAAGGAAUAACUAUCAACAAACGGACAUUCAUGAAGUCAAAACUUGAAUUUGAAACAGACCUUGCCCUAUAUUCUGAAUGAUUAGAACUUUCAGCUAUGUAUUAAAGUAAAUUCAUUUACAAUUGACAAAUUUUGUCCAAUUGUUU